AUGUUGCUUAGAACCUUGGAAGUUACGGACUUCUCUUGUAGAUCCACUCCUUUUGCUCUAUUUUCUUUGAAAACUAACUUGAGAUUUGAAACAAGGGAAGAAAACGGAUCAAGAAAAAUAUUUAGAAAAAAUCGAUUCCGAGCUACUCACGGCAGAGCCGCCUUGAGCUUCGCCAGAAAUCGUCGUGCUCAGCCGCAUAUUCAUAACCCUGUGUCGUCUGUUCUUCCUUCUUCCACCAUGUUUAAUCCUCUAUCUCUUUUAAUUUUUGAUUGUUUUGUUUAUUGA
Vicia faba (fava bean) is the source of this 285-nucleotide non-coding RNA. The record is from the annotation of a GenBank genome assembly. Lineage: Eukaryota; Viridiplantae; Streptophyta; Magnoliopsida; Fabales; Fabaceae.